GAUGACGAACGCAGCGAAAUGCGAUAAGUAAUGUGAAUUGCAGAAUUCAGUGAAUCAUCGAAUCUUUGAACGCACAUUGCGCCCGCCAGUAUUCUGGCGGGCAUGCCUGUUCGAGCGUCAUUUCAACCAUCAAGCCCCCGGCUUGUGUUGGGGACCUGCGGCUGCCGCAGGCCCUGAAAAGCAGUGGCGGGCUCGCUGUCACACCGAGCGUAGUAGCAUACAUCUCGCUCUGGGCGUGCUGCGGGUUCCGGCCGUUAAACCACCUUCAUAACCCAAGGUUGACCUCGGAUCAGGUAGGAAGACCCGCUGAACUUAAGCAUAUCAAUAAGCGGAGGA
RNAcentral lists this unclassified non-coding RNA (336 nucleotides) under soil metagenome. RNAcentral describes it as "partial contains 5.8S ribosomal RNA, internal transcribed spacer 2, and large subunit ribosomal RNA". The stretch from base 1 to 120 matches the Rfam family "5.8S ribosomal RNA", at positions 35 to 154 of the family's 154-position model. The record is from RNAcentral.